AAGGAGAGCGAGACUGUAUGAGUGAGUGCGAGCAAGGGAAAGAGAGAGAGGGGGGGGGAAUGGGAGGUGCUGUAUCAGCCAGGCUGAGCCAGGAUGCAGUAGCCGCACAAGCAGCACGCUGAGCUGAGGGAUCUAUUGUUCCUCUGGCUUUUUUUAUUUUUUCUCCUCCACACAGACCUCAUUCUUUUCCACUGACCCAGAGAACACAGUGAAGAAGAAAUAAAAGGAGGAAAAAUAGAGGAGUUAGUGGAGAAAGAUAGAGACAAGUGGAUUACCCUUUCCUUGAGGAACCGCGUACAGAAGAGUGAAAGGGACAGUAACCGGCACACUUUCUCCUGUGCCGCAUCUUCUUGUGCAUAUAUCUCCUGCUGAGUGUGUGUGUAUUGUGCGGGUCUGUUUGGCCAGAUUUGAGACGUGUGGAUCUAUCUGGCCGGGCUGAAGCCAUGGGGCUGGCCAGCAGGGCGGCAGGAAGAGGGGGCACUUCAGCAGGGGCUCUUGACACCCUCUUCAGAGUAGCUCUGCUCUUUUUUGGGCUUUGGGAUGUCCAGACCCAAACAGUCGCCAACACAAAACCCACCUACAUCUGGCAAACAGGACCAUGGGGUAGGUGCAUGGGCAGCGAGUGUGGUCCGGGAGGAAGUCAAAGCCGAGCGGUAUGGUGUGCCCAUUCCGAGGGCUGGACCACUUUACACACCAACUGCCAGCAGUCGGAGCGACCCAGCAACCAACAGAGCUGCUUCCGGGUGUGCGAUUGGCACAAAGAGUUGUACGACUGGCAGCUAGGGGCCUGGAACCAGUGCGUGCCAGUGUCUAUGCGCAAUGUGGGCGUGCCAAGGCCAGCGGUGUGCACACGGGGCGAAGAGGGCAUCCAGACGCGGGAAGUGGGCUGCGUGCACAAAUCGGAUGGCGUUCCCGCAGAAGAUGCCAUCUGCGAGUACUUUGAGCCCAAGCCACGGUUGGAGCAGGCCUGCCUUAUCCCAUGCCCACGUGACUGCGUAGUGUCCGAAUUCUCCCCAUGGACAUCCUGCUCUAAGAGUUGUGGGAUGGGUCUGCAGAACCGCUUGCGAUGGGUUCUAGCCCCGCCCCUUUUUGGCGGUUCAGCUUGCCCCAACCUCACAGAGUUCCGCACCUGCCAGCCGGGCCCCUGUGAGGGUGAGGAGAGCCUGCACAGUCUGAGGGUGGGAUCCUGGGGCCCCUGCAUGGCUUCACCUAUACGACAGACCCGAGAGGCCAGAGAGCCCAAACCUGAACGGAAAGCAAAGCGAGAUCGGCAGGCCAGACUGGAACGCCAGGGCAAGCGUCGCAAGAACAAAGAGAAAAAGGAGGUGAAGGAAAACAAAGGAGAACGUGUGAAGGAUAGGGUCAGGGUGAAGGGAAGGAUGAGGGACCCUGAGACCAGAGAGCUCAUCAAGAAGAAGAGGACGAGGAAUCGUCAAAACCGCCAGGGGUUGAAGUUCUGGGACCUGCAGGUGGGCUACCAGACCCGGGAGGUGACGUGUGUUCACCGAAGCGGAAGCACAGCGGCGCUCAGCCAGUGUAACCAGCAGACUCUUCCUGUGACAUAUCAAGCGUGUGUCAUCCCAAAGGACUGUGAAGUAGCCGAGUGGUCGGACUGGUCUGCGUGCUCAAAGGAGUGCUAUGAUCUGAAUGGGCGUAUGGGACAGCGGACACGCACACGUCAGGUGAAGCAGUUCCAAGUGGGUGGAGGAGCCGAGUGUCCUGAGCUGGAGGAGACUGAACCAUGUUCUCCUCAAGGAGAAGGAAUCCCGCCAUGUAUAGUGUAUAAUUGGCGAACCACAGAGUGGAGCGAAUGCAGAGUGGAUGUGCUCCUCAGCCAACAGGACCGUCGCCGGAGCAACCAGACAGGGCUCUGCGGAGGCGGGGUUCAAACCAGGGAGGUCUACUGCGUUCAAGCCCCCACCGAAACCUCAUCUAACCUCAGCUCCCUUAAGAACAAAGAUGGUUUGCGGCCAGUGAACAGUGACCUGUGUUUGGGCGUUUCUCCUAACACCACCCAGCUCUGCCAUAUUCCCUGUCCUGUGGAGUGUGAGGUGUCCUCCUGGAGCGCAUGGGGGCCCUGCACCUUUGAAAACUGUCAGGAUCAGUCCACAAAGAAAGGUUUCAAACUGAGGAAAAGGAAAAUCAUGAAUGAGCCCACAGGUGGAACAGGAAAUUGUCCCCACCUGACGGAGGCAAUCCCCUGUGAGGAGCCCAGUUGCUAUGAAUGGCUGCUGGUGAAGCUGGAGGAGUGUGUGCCUGACAAUGACAAAGUAUGUGGACCGGGAACCCAGAACCCACAAGUACAGUGCGUCAACAGUGACGGUGAAUACAUGGACAGGCAGCUGUGCCGGGACGCCAUCCUUCCCAUGCCUGUGCUUUGUGAGGUGCCCUGCCCCAAAGACUGUGUGCUCAGUCCCUGGACUUCAUGGUCUCUGUGCUCCAACACCUGCUCAGGAAAGAACUCGGAGGGCAAGCAGACCAGAUCACGCUCCAUUCUGGCCUACAAUGCUGGGGACGGUGGAGGUCAGUGCCCCAACAGCAGCACCUUGCAGGAGGUCCGCAACUGCAAUGAUCAUCCCUGCACUGUGUACCACUGGCAGACGGGACCCUGGGGUCAGUGCAUAGAGGACACCUCCGCUCCGUCCGCCAACAGCUCGCUCAGCCGCACCGGAGCAGGAGUCGGCACUAAUGAGGCGUUCUGCACGGUUGGAAUGCAGACGCGUAAAGUCAUUUGUGUCCGGGUCAAUGUGGGCCAGGUGCCACCUAAGAAGUGCCCAGAGAGUCUGCGUCCAGAGACUGUAAGGCCGUGUCUUCUGCCCUGCAAGAGAGACUGCAUUGUCACUCCUUACAGUGACUGGACACCUUGCCCUUCCUCUUGCCAGACAGGUGGUGUCAUCAAAAAGAAGCAAUCAAGGAAACGCAUCAUCAUUCAGCUUCCAGCUAACGGGGGCCAAGACUGUCCAGAAGUGCUCUUCCAGGAGAAGGAAUGUGAUGCCUCAUCUGUUUGUCCAGGCUACAGGUGGAAAACCCACAAGUGGCGCAGGUGUCAGUUGGUGCCCUGGACCAUUCGUCAGGACAGUCCUGGAGCACAAGAGACCUGUGGACCAGGACUACAGGCUAGAGCCGUAUCGUGUAAAAAGUUGGAUGGAGGGCCUGCAGACAGCGCGGCCUGUCUUAAGUUUGCAGGUCCUAUGCCUCAACUCACUCAGUCCUGCCAGCUUCCAUGCCAGGACGACUGCCAGCUGACCACCUGGUCCAAAUUCUCAUCCUGCGCUGCUGAUUGUGUGGGGGUCCGAACUAGGAAAAGGACUCUUGUUGGUAAAAGCAAAAAGAGAGAACAAUGUAAAAACACACAGAUGUAUCCUCUGAGUGAAACCCAGUACUGCCCCUGCAACAAGUACAAUGCCCAGCCCGUGGGGAACUGGUCCGACUGCAUCCUGCCCGAGGGUGGGCGAGUAGAGGGCCUUUUGGGUAUGAAAGUUCAAGGAGAUAUCAAGGAGUGUGGCCAGGGUUACCGGUUUCAAGCCAUGGUGUGCUAUGACCAGGACAACCGCCUCGUGGAGACGUCACGCUGCAACAGUCACGGUUACAUAGAGGAAGCAUGUAUCAUCCCAUGUCCAUCUGACUGUAAGCUCAGCGAGUGGUCCAACUGGUCCCGUUGCAGUAAGUCCUGUGGCAGUGGGGUCAAAGUACGGUCCAAGUGGCUUCGGGAGAAACCUUAUAACGGUGGCAGACCCUGCCCCAAACUGGACCAUGUCAAUCAGGCUCAGGUGUAUGAAGUGGUACCAUGUCUGAGCGACUGCAGUCAGUAUGUCUGGGUGGCUGAGCCAUGGAGCGUCUGGAAGGUCAGUAAUGUUGAUCUGAAGGAGAACUGUGGGGAAGGUGUACAGACAAGGAAAGUCAGGUGCAUGCAGAACACUGUUGAUGGACCUUCAGACCCUGUAGAAGACUAUCUCUGUGAUCCAGAGGAGAUGCCGCUUGGAGCCAGAGAGAGCAAGUUGCCCUGUCCUGGGGACUGUGUUUUAACUGACUGGGGCCCUUGGAGUCGAUGCCCAUUGCCAUGCAAUUUGAAUAGUACAAGGCAGAGGACUGCCAGCCCUAUACGUCAGCCUGGGGCAGAGAAACAGUGUCCUUCAACUACAGAGAAAGAAACAUGCACCCUGAACACCAACUGCUUCUAUUACUCCUAUAAUAUUACAGACUGGAGCACAUGUCAGCUGAGUGAACGAGCCGUAUGUGGGGUUGGAUUCAAAACACGCAUGCUUGACUGUGUUCGCAGUGAUGGCAAGUCUGUAGACCUCAAGUUUUGCGAGGAGCUUGGUCUUGAGAAAAAAUGGCAGAUGAAUGCUUCCUGUGUGGUCGAGUGCCCUGUCAACUGCCAGCUGUCUGAUUGGUCGUCCUGGUCUGAAUGCUCUCACACCUGCGGUCUUGCAGGGAAGCUCUGGAGAAGGAGAACUGUGAUCCAGGCCUCUCAGGGAGAUGGCCGGCCAUGUUCCCCACAGCUGGAACAGUGGAAGCCCUGUCCUGUUAAACCCUGCUACAGCUGGAGGUACAGCGCCUGGUCUCCAUGCAAAUCUGAGGGCGCACGGUGUGGAGAGGGCCUGCGCUUCAGGAACAUGUCCUGCUUUGUGUCUGAUGGCUCGGGGAAGGAUCCGGGCAGUAUGGUGGAUGAGGAACUGUGUGGAGACCUGGAGCAGACUGUGGAUGGGGACAAACAGAUCAUCCUGCAGGAGUCCUGCACAGUGCCCUGUCCAGGUGAGUGUUACCUGACAGAGUGGACAGUGUGGAGCCCGUGUCAGCUGAGCUGUAUCAGCGGGGACGAUCUGGGAUUCGGUUCAGUGCAGGUGCGUUCUCGUGCUGUUCUAGCCCAGGAACCUGAAAACCUUCUUCAGUGUCCAGAACAAGAAUGGGAACCCAGGCCAUGUACAGAGGGCCAGUGUUAUGAGUACAAAUGGAUGACCAGUCCAUGGAAAGGCUCGUCUCGACAAGUCUGGUGCCAGCGCUCUGAUGGACUGAAUGUCACAGGUGGAUGCCCGUUGACAAGCGAGCCGGUGUCUGACAGAUCAUGUGACCCAGCCUGCGACAAACCCCGCUCCUACUGCACUGAGGCUGGAGUAUGCGGCUGCGAUGAGGGUUACACUGAGGUAAUGACUUCUGAUGGAGUUUUGGACCAGUGCACGGUCAUACCGGUGCUUGAGAUCCCCACCGCAGGAGACAAUAAGGCUGACGUGAAGACGAUCCGAGCCCUCAACCCCACUCAGUCCACCGCCAACCUGCCAGGCCGCUCCGGACGCACCUGGUUCCUCCAACCCUUCGGACCCGAUGGCAAACUGAAGACCUGGGUGUAUGGUGUGGCAGCUGGAGCUUUUGUACUGCUGGUGUUCGUUGUCUCUAUGACUUACUUAGCCUGUUUUUGUAUGCUGGCCCGGCGCUCUCCUCCGAGCCCGGACCCUUCCAUUACCUCUGUGGUUUGGGUCGGACCCAACGACCAAGAACUGAUAUAUACCUGUCCUGACUGUCAGCGCAUUGAGACUCAGUUCAACUAGAGCUCUCAGCUCAGUCCAUUCCCUAAUGGCCAUCCUGUCCAACACCUGUGCCUUCUCACUGUCACAUGUGCCUUUCUGACCAAUCACAUGGAGCUGUUUGGUGGAGCAAAAAGCCAAAGAAGCCCCAGAGAAGACAGAUGAACAACAGACUCAAGCCUCUGACGCUGGCUUAUGACGGCGACGCUGACAUGUAGCCUAACCACGUCUGCUUCAAACUACAGACACUCGCCUCCUUUCACAGUCGGCCAUCGGUACGAGCCUCAAACGAGGAGACUCGCGCGAACUCACCGACUGCUUUUUAUAAGACGCUAACGGAACCUCAGAGAGAGAGACUCGAUCUGUGUUUAUAUAACGUUUCUCCCCCCUCCUUUUUUUUACGUUCAACUUUUUCGACUUUUAUUUCACAAGAGCCUUCAUAAACUCUUCAAAAAUCUUCUUCAGGGAGUCUGCCUUCACCUCUCUGCUAUCGACGUCUUUCUGUAACAUAGACUUUAGUCUUUCGGGAGGAAAGUUGCAGGACCUUUUUGAAAUUGCGAAGUUUUUUUUUUUGCUGAGAAAGGACACAGAAUGCCCGCCUCCUGUUUAGUCGCACUUCAUGUCAGCUCCUGCAAUAUCUACAUUGUCUGUUGGGCGGUCGCACGUUCAGACAAACUAAAUAAACAAUAGCAUUUUCAGCCCCGAAACGCUCAAUAUUGUGUGAUCAGAAUGAUAAAAGACUGCCGAUUGAAUGGGCUCACUAGCGCCCCCUAUAGAAACUCUGGCCUGCCUUUCCCCUUUUCUGUAUCCAGUCUCCAUUUUGCACUAUAUUAGUGCAGCAUGAACAUUUACUUAUUGCAUUGCCAUAGAACACUGCCUCUCGCAAAACAAGAUGAUGUACAGUCUUGUGCUAGACACGUUUCUUUUUGAAAAAAAAAAAAAAAAAGCGAGCAAGAGAGAACAAAAGUAGCCCUUUUUCUUCUGAUGGAACUCACUGGUGUUUGUUUAUACGUACUUGUUUACUGGUUCCCUUCUGUUUGUGAUAAAGGGGCCGUUGAAACGUUUUUUUUGUGGACUCCACAAA
Molecule: RNA transcript, 6606 nt
Organism: Carassius auratus (goldfish)
Lineage: Eukaryota; Metazoa; Chordata; Actinopteri; Cypriniformes; Cyprinidae
Gene: thsd7aa
Gene name: thrombospondin, type I, domain containing 7Aa
Exons: 28
Source: RefSeq, a predicted model, not a curated record